GCGGGAGUAGCUCAGUUGGUAGAGCGCAACCUUGCCAAGGUUGAGGUCGCGAGUUCGAGACUCGUCUUCCGCUCCA
Molecule: transfer RNA, 76 nt
Filed under: Burkholderia sp.
Lineage: Bacteria; Pseudomonadati; Pseudomonadota; Betaproteobacteria; Burkholderiales; Burkholderiaceae
Description: tRNA-Gly
Rfam family: tRNA
About the family: Transfer RNA (tRNA) molecules are approximately 80 nucleotides in length. Their secondary structure includes four short double-helical elements and three loops (D, anti-codon, and T loops).
Source: RNAcentral